Molecule: ribosomal RNA, 253 nt
Filed under: uncultured bacterium
Lineage: Bacteria
Description: partial 16S ribosomal RNA
Rfam family: Bacterial small subunit ribosomal RNA
Source: RNAcentral
UACGAAGGGGGCUAGCGUUGCUCGGAAUCACUGGGCGUAAAGCGCACGUAGGCGGAUUGCUAAGUCAGGGGUGAAAUCCUGGAGCUCAACUCCAGAACUGCCUUUGAUACUGAAGAUCUUGAGUUCGGGAGAGGUGAGUGGAACUGCGAGUGUAGAGGUGAAAUUCGUAGAUAUUCGCAAGAACACCAGUGGCGAAGGCGGGUCUCUGGACAGUUCCUGACGCUGAGGCACGAAGGCCAGGGGAGCAAACGGG